GAUGAACGCUGGCGGCGUGCUUAACACAUGCAAGUUGAACGGUGAAGGCGGAGCUUGCUCUGCUGGAUCAGUGGCGAACGGGUGAGUAACACGUGAGCAAUCUGCCCCUGACUCUGGGAUAAGCGCUGGAAGCGGCGUCUAAUACUGGAUACGAGCUGCGAAGGCAUCUUCAGCAGCUGGAAAGAAUUUCGGUCAGGGAUGAGCUCGCGGCCUAUCAGCUUGUUGGUGAGGUAAUGGCUCACCAAGGCGUCGACGGGUAGCCGGCCUGAGAGGGUGACCGGCCACACUGGGACUGAGACACGGCCCAGACUCCUACGGGAGGCAGCAGUGGGGAAUAUUGCACAAUGGGCGAAAGCCUGAUGCAGCAACGCCGCGUGAGGGACGACGGCCUUCGGGUUGUAAACCUCUUUUAGCAGGGAAGAAGCGAAAGUGACGGUACCUGCAGAAAAAGCGCCGGCUAACUACGUG
RNAcentral lists this ribosomal RNA (468 nucleotides) under uncultured bacterium. RNAcentral describes it as "partial 16S ribosomal RNA". It matches the Rfam family "Bacterial small subunit ribosomal RNA", at positions 28 to 507 of the family's 1533-position model. The record is from RNAcentral.